AUCUUGGACAAUGGGCGCAAGCCUGAUCCAGCCAUGCCGCGUGAGUGAUGAAGGCCCUAGGGUUGUAAAGCUCUUUCAGCGGGGAAGAUAAUGACGGUACCCGCAGAAGAAGCCCCGGCUAACUUCGUGCCAGCAGCCGCGGUAAUACGAAGGGGGCUAGCGUUGCUCGGAAUCACUGGGCGUAAAGCGCACGUAGGCGGCUUUCUAAGUCAGGGGUGAAAUCCCGGAGCUCAACUCCGGAACUGCCUUUGAUACUGGAAAGCUUGAGUCCGGGAGAGGUGAGUGGAACUGCGAGUGUAGAGGUGAAAUUCGUAGAUAUUCGCAAGAACACCAGUGGCGAAGGCGGCUCACUGGCCCGGUACUGACGCUGAGGUGCGAAAGCGUGGGGAGCAAACAGG
This 398-nucleotide ribosomal RNA is filed under the name uncultured bacterium. Its description in RNAcentral is "bacterial SSU rRNA". It matches the Rfam family "Bacterial small subunit ribosomal RNA", at positions 361 to 776 of the family's 1533-position model. The record is from RNAcentral.